RNAcentral lists this ribosomal RNA (209 nucleotides) under Nacobbus aberrans. RNAcentral describes it as "18S ribosomal RNA". It matches the Rfam family "Eukaryotic small subunit ribosomal RNA", at positions 1641 to 1831 of the family's 1831-position model. The record is from RNAcentral. Lineage: Eukaryota; Metazoa; Nematoda; Chromadorea; Rhabditida; Pratylenchidae.
UUGAUUACGUCCCUGCCCUUUGUACACACCGCCCGUCGCUGCCCGGGACUGAGCCAUUUCGAGAAACUUGGGGACUGCUGAUCCGGUGGCUUCGGCCUCCGCUUCGGUGGAAACCAAUUUAAUCGCAGUGGCUUGAACCGGGCAAAAGUCGUAACCAAGGGUAGCUGUAGGUGAACCUGCUGCUGGAUCAUUACACGUACCGUGAUGGU